This is an RNA transcript of Brassica rapa (field mustard), 1760 nucleotides long. It is a transcript of the gene named serine/arginine-rich splicing factor RSZ22A, with no coding region annotated. NCBI's taxonomy places the organism in Eukaryota, Viridiplantae, Streptophyta, Magnoliopsida, Brassicales, Brassicaceae. The record is from RefSeq and is a predicted model, not a curated record.
UUUGAUCAAUGGAGGCCCAUGUAAGCCCAAAAUAAGGAACGAGGACUUUAAAAUUGACAUCCAUCCCCAUUCUUGAAUCCGAUAACCCUAAUUUCACACGACCGAGGAGAAGCCGUCUCUCUCUUCUCACCACCGCCGAAUUCUUCAGAUGUCGCGUGUGUACGUUGGUAAUUUGGAUCCGCGAGUUACUGAGCGUGAGCUCGAGGAUGAGUUUCGUGUCUAUGGAGUCAUCAAGAGUGUUUGGGUUGCAAGACGUCCUCCUGGUUACGCCUUUCUUGAUUUUGAAGACUCAAGGGAUGCCCGCGACGCCAUUCGUGAUUUAGAUGGCAAGAAUGGAUGGAGGGUGGAAGAGUCUCACAACCGUGGUGGUGGUGGAGGCCGUGGUGGUCGUGGAGGAGGUGAUGGUGGCCGUGGCCGUGGUGGUUCUGAUUUGAAGUGCUAUGAGUGUGGCGAGCCUGGUCACUUUGCACGUGAGUGCCGCUCUCGUGGCGGCUCUGGGAGGCGUCGCAGUCCGUCUCCUCGUGGUCGCAGUCCUCCUAGAUACAGAAAGAGCCCAACGUAUGGAGAAAGGCGCAGGAGCUACAGCCCUCGCGCAAGAUCUCCUCCUCCUCCAAGGCGUCGCAGUCCUUCUCCUCGUGGUCGCAACUACAGUAGGUCACCCCCACCUUACAGAGGACGUGACGAGGUCCCAUAUGCUAAUGGAAAUGGUCUGAAAGAUGUGCGCAGAAGCCGGAGCUGAGUGUUAAGGGAUGGAUGAGGAAACCUACUGUUUGCUUGCGACGUCAAGAGGACAGCUUAAGGAAAACUAGUAUAUGUAUUUCACUAAAAGAAUCAUGUUUUUAGCUGUUGGGUGGAUUUGGAUAUGCUUGCCUACUUUUGUCUGCCGUGGUUAUGUCUACCGUUAGGUUUCUUCCGUGUUUCUACUGCUUCAUUGCUUAUCUCUGCUUCUCUACUCUGCCUUGGGGCUUCUUCGUUGAUUGAUUGACCUGCAAUGGCUUCUUCAUAAUAAUUUACUGCAUUGUGGAUCAUAAUGUUUUUUUCGGAUCUCUCUCUACUGCUUUGUUGCUAUCUCUUCUUCUCUGCUCUGCCCUGAGGCUUCUUCUUAGAUGAUUGACCUGCAGUGGCAUCUUCAUUGUAGUUUACUACGUUGUGGAUCUACUUGUUUCUGCUUCAUUGCUAUGCUCUUCUCUGCUCUGCCAUGAGACUCCUUCAUUAAUUGAUUGACAUGCUGGCUACUUCAUAAUAGUUUACUACGUUGUGGAUCUUAACGUUUUCUUCGGGUCUCUACUGCUUCGUUGUUCAUCGCUUCUCUGCUCUGCCCUGAAGCUUCUUCGUUAAUUGUUUGACCUGCAAUGGCAUCUUCAUAAUGGUUUACUACUGUAGUGAAUCUCUACUUGUUUCUACUGCUUCAUUGCUUAUCUCUGCUUCCCUGCUCUGCCCUGCCCUGAGGCUUCUUCUUAAUUGACCCCCGAUGGCAUGUAGUUUACCACAUUGUGGAUCACUACUUGCUACUGCUUCUGCUUCCUCGUACGUUUGAAAGCUUCGUCAGCCCUGAUCCUACCUUCUUCAAAACUCCUCUGGCCUGAGAGUUUCUGAGCCGUUUCAACUUUCAAGCUUCAUUUGUUACACACUGUGGCAGGUAGUUAUUACGUUCCAGAUGUAUUCUUUGAAAGCAUGAUAGCUUUUGACCAAUAGCAUUAUAAAAUACUCUGUUUCAAGCCUGUUCUUUACAGGUUGGUGCAAGAAGUGUUUUCUUUUAA